CCUGACUAGUCUUUCAGGUAAUGUGUGCU
This 29-nucleotide unclassified non-coding RNA is filed under the name synthetic construct. Its description in RNAcentral is "RNA transcript from synthetic construct (PDB 4GZY, chain R)". The record is from RNAcentral.